This 464-nucleotide ribosomal RNA is filed under the name uncultured bacterium. RNAcentral describes it as "bacterial SSU rRNA". It matches the Rfam family "Bacterial small subunit ribosomal RNA", at positions 331 to 792 of the family's 1533-position model. The record is from RNAcentral.
CCAGACUCCUACGGGAGGCAGCAGUGAGGAAUAUUGGUCAAUGGGCGCGAGCCUGAACCAGCCAAGUCGCGUGAGGGAUGACGGUCCUACGGAUUGUAAACCUCUUUUGCCGGGGAGCAAGCGUGCGUUCGUGAACGCGCGUCGAGAGUACCCGGAGAAAAAGCAUCGGCUAACUCCGUGCCAGCAGCCGCGGUAAUACGGAGGAUGCGAGCGUUAUCCGGAUUUAUUGGGUUUAAAGGGUGCGUAGGCGGUUUUUUAAGUUAGUGGUUAAACGUCGGGGCUUCACCUUGAUUUGCCAUUAAUACUGUAAGACUCGAGUUCAGACGAGGUAGGCGGAAUAAGUUAAGUAGCGGUGAAAUGCUUAGAUAUAACUUAGAACUCCGAUAGCGAAGGCAGCUUACCAGACUGCGACUGACGCUGAAGCACGAGAGCGUGGGUAGCGAACAGGAUUAGAUACCCCUGUA